Molecule: ribosomal RNA, 494 nt
Filed under: uncultured bacterium
Lineage: Bacteria
Description: bacterial SSU rRNA
Rfam family: Bacterial small subunit ribosomal RNA
Source: RNAcentral
AUUGAACGCUGGCGGAAUGCUUUACACAUGCAAGUCGAACGGCAGCACGGACUUCGGUCUGGUGGCGAGUGGCGAACGGGUGAGUAAUGCAUCGGAACGUGCCCAAUCGUGGGGGAUAACGUAGCGAAAGUUACGCUAAUACCGCAUACGAUCUAAGGAUGAAAGCGGGGGAUCGCAAGACCUCGCGCGAAUGGAGCGGCCGAUGUUAGAUUAGGUAGUUGGUGGGGUAAAGGCUCACCAAGCCGACGAUCUAUAGCUGGUCUGAGAGGAUGAUCAGCCACACUGGGACUGAGACACGGCCCAGACUCCUACGGGAGGCAGCAGUGGGGAAUUUUGGACAAUGGGCGCAAGCCUGAUCCAGCCAUUCCGCGUGCAGGAUGAAGGCCCUCGGGUUGUAAACUGCUUUUGUACAGAACGAAAAGCUCUGGGUUAAUACCCUGGGGACAUGACGGUACUGUAAGAAUAAGCACCGGCUAACUACGUGCCAGCAGCCG